GGGCGUUAAGUUGCAGGGUAUAGACCCGAAACCCGGUGAUCUAGCCAUGGGCAGGUUGAAGGUUGGGUAACACUAACUGGAGGACCGAACCGACUAAUGUUGAAAAAUUAGCGGAUGACCUGUGGCUGGGGGUGAAAGGCCAAUCAAACCGGGAGAUAGCUGGUUCUCCCCGAAAGCUAUUUAGGUAGCGCCUCGUGAAUUCAUCUCCGGGGGUAGAGCACUGUUUCGGCUAGGGGGCCAUCCCGGCUUACCAACCCGAUGCAAACUGCGAAUACCGGAGAAUGUUAUCACGGGAGACACACGGCGGGUGCUAACGUCCGUCGUGAAGAGGGAAACAACCCAGACCGCCAGCUAAGGUCCCAAAGUCAUGGUUAAGUGGGAAACGAUGUGGGAAGGCCCAGACAGCCAGGAUGUUGGCUUAGAAGCAGCCAUCAUUUAAAGAAAGCGUAAUAGCUCACUGGUCGAGUCGGCCUGCGCGGAAGAUGUAACGGGGCUAAACCAUGCACCGAAGCUGCGGCAGCGAACGUAUCACCCAAGACAACUUUACGGAGUUGACGAUUGACGGAGCGAAGCGACGUCAAAGCGUUCAUUAAAGUCGAGUUGGCUUAGGGAUACGUUCGUUGGGUAGGGGAGCGUUCUGUAAGCCUGUGAAGGUGUGUCGUGAGGCAUGCUGGAGGUAUCAGAAGUGCGAAUGCUGACAUAAGUAACGAUAAAGCGGGUGAAAAGCCCGCUCGCCGGAAGACCAAGGGUUCCUGUCCAACGUUAAUCGGGGCAGGGUGAGUCGACCCCUAAGGCGAGGCCGAAAGGCGUAGUCGAUGGGAAACGGGUUAAUAUUCCCGUACUUGGUGUUACUGCGAAGGGGGGACGGAGAAGGCUAUGUUGGCCGGGCGACGGUUGUCCCGGUUUAAGCGUGUAGGUGUGUGUUCCAGGUAAAUCCGGUUCACUUUAACACUGAGGCGUGACGACGAGGCACUACGGUGCUGAAGCAACAAAUGCCCUGCUUCCAGGAAAAGCCUCUAAGCAUCAGGUAACACGAAAUCGUACCCCAAACCGACACAGGUGGUCAGGUAGAGAAUACCAAGGCGCUUGAGAGAACUCGGGUGAAGGAACUAGGCAAAAUGGUGCCGUAACUUCGGGAGAAGGCACGCUGACACGUAGGUGAAGUGAUUUACUCAUGGAGCUGAAGUCAGUCGAAGAUACCAGCUGGCUGCAACUGUUUAUUAAAAACACAGCACUGUGCAAACACGAAAGUGGACGUAUACGGUGUGACGCCUGCCCGGUGCCGGAAGGUUAAUUGAUGGGGUCAGCG
This 1309-nucleotide ribosomal RNA is filed under the name Salmonella enterica. RNAcentral's name for it is "partial 23S ribosomal RNA". It matches the Rfam family "Bacterial large subunit ribosomal RNA", at positions 690 to 1895 of the family's 2925-position model. Lineage: Bacteria; Pseudomonadati; Pseudomonadota; Gammaproteobacteria; Enterobacterales; Enterobacteriaceae. The record is from RNAcentral. RNAcentral also lists the same sequence under 3 other names.